Molecule: ribosomal RNA, 482 nt
Filed under: uncultured bacterium
Lineage: Bacteria
Description: bacterial SSU rRNA
Rfam family: Bacterial small subunit ribosomal RNA
Source: RNAcentral
AUUGAACGCUGGCGGAAUGCUUUACACAUGCAAGUCGAACGGUAGAGGGGGCAACCCCCUUGAGAGUGGCGAACGGGUGAGUAAUAUAUCGGAACGUGCCCAGUCGUGGGGGAUAACGUAGCGAAAGUUACGCUAAUACCGCAUACGAUCUAAGGAUGAAAGCGGGGGACUCGCAAGAGCCUCGCGCGAUUGGAGCGGCCGAUAUCAGAUUAGGUAGUUGGUGGGGUAAAGGCUCACCAAGCCAACGAUCUGUAGCUGGUCUGAGAGGACGACCAGCCACACUGGAACUGAGACACGGUCCAGACUCCUACGGGAGGCAGCAGUGGGGAAUUUUGGACAAUGGACGCAAGUCUGAUCCAGCCAUUCCGCGUGCAGGAUGAAGGCCCUCGGGUUGUAAACUGCUUUUGUACGGACGAAAAGGUUUCUCUUAAUACGAGGAGCUCAUGACGGUACCGUAAGAAUAAGCACCGGCUAACUACGUG